Molecule: ribosomal RNA, 424 nt
Filed under: Lysinibacillus sp.
Lineage: Bacteria; Bacillati; Bacillota; Bacilli; Caryophanales; Bacillaceae
Description: bacterial SSU rRNA
Rfam family: Bacterial small subunit ribosomal RNA
Source: RNAcentral
CCCUUCGGGGGAAAAGGUGACAGGUGGUGCAUGGUAGUCGUCAGCUCGUGUCGUGAGAUGUUGGGUUAAGUCCCGCAACGAGCGCAACCCUUGUUGUUAGUUGCCAUCAUUUAGUUGGGCACUCUAAGGAGACUGCCGGUGACAAACCGGAGGAAGGUGGGGAUGACGUCAAAUCAUCAUGCCCCUUAUGACCUGGGCUACACACGUGCUACAAUGGACGAUACAAAGGGUUGCCAACCCGCGAGAGGGAGCUAAUCUGAUAAAGCCGUUCUCAGUUCGGAUUGUAGGCUGCAACUCGCCUACAUGAAGCCGGAAUCGCUAGUAAUCGCGGAUCAGCAUGCCGCGGUGAAUACGUUCCCGGGCCUUGUACACACCGCCCGUCACACCACGAGAGUUUGUAACACCCAAAGUCGGUGAGGUACCU